Molecule: long non-coding RNA, 2812 nt
Organism: Oryzias sinensis (Chinese medaka)
Lineage: Eukaryota; Metazoa; Chordata; Actinopteri; Beloniformes; Adrianichthyidae
Source: Ensembl
CCCUGCAGUACUGUCCACUUGGACUGCGCAUCCUGAGGAGAAAUGAGUGUUGCCUGGGGGUGGAGUCCACGUCUCCCUAUUCUGUCAAAUGGUAAGGUACCGUGCACAAGGGAGCUUUGGAAUGAGCCUUUGUUUUGGUUGGCUCUCCUCCUCUUGCUCUCCUGUCAUCCUUUGAUCAUGUCAAGUUCUUGCUCUAUUCCUCACUUCAUGUCUAACCUCUUGAGUUUGAUGGGAGAGAAGAUGCAUUCAGGACCGCACCAGGAGAGAGACAAAAGUAUCCAAUUCACAUCACUCGUUUCUCCCCAGAAGGCCAUUCCUGUCCUCACCUUGAAGCUCCCACCUUUCAAGAUCUCCAUUCAGGUGACAGAAGGAAGCCUCAGACAAGGAUCAUCUGUCCACUGGACUCAUGCUGGAUUGCAUGCCUGUAUCUCCCCCUCCAGGACAACUUGGUUUAUGAUUUCAGUCUCCCUGAACACGAGCAAUCUCCCCUCCAUCCUCAUACUCUGAAAUCUAUAAAAACAGUAAAGCGCCAGCCUGAGCUGAUAACAAGUGAGUGCACUCCCUGGAAUGAUGGAUGGGCCUUAGCUAUGGGCUUGUCAGGAGAGGGUGCCGGGCCAUAUGGAAGUGGCAUAUGGAAGCUCAUAGUGGAAGAUGGGGCAAAAGGAGGGGAGUGACAGAGAUAUACAUUAAAGACACAGCUUUGCUCUUAAAAAUGCAAGGUUCAUCAGUUUGGUGGGUAAAAUCAGUCAGUUCUGCUUCCUUCCGUGGGACUGGAGGGAAGCAAACAGAGGCAGAUGCAGGCUUCUCUCUUGCUGUUACCGUGUAACAUUUAUAUUUAGACUCCUUUUAAAUCAUCAGCUUUGCACUUUUUUGUUGUUUAGACCAGAAAGUUCUACAAAGACAGAAACAGAAUAAAGAAAGGCUUAGAAUUAUAUUGUAUCAGCCACAUUUAAUUUCCAGUUUAAUACAGAUGAAUGCCUGCACACAAGUUUGCCCCAGCUUUCCUGCGAACAAGCAUUAAUUAUGUCUUCACAUCAAGUGAUGAGAAGUCUAUUUUUACCUUUCUAUCUUUGUCAGUGUGCACUAGUUUUGUGCGUGCUGGAGUGGAUGUGUACAAUCAUCCGUGAACAUGUGUGCCUGUCUCUGUCUGUCUGUCUUUCUCCGUGCCCUGUGGAGUGUCUCUGGGCCCCGAGGAUCUCUGUUUGAUUGUUUAAAACCCUUCUUAAUUGGCGCUUUGUCUGCACUCGCCUAAAUGAGGCGGGACACCCACGGCGGGGGUUCCCGUGGAGACUGUGGGCCGUUUGACAGCCCCCACAGUGGGGCCUGUCCCACAACCCCUCAAACUGCCAGCCGGAUGACAGGGGCCCGUGCUGCACCACCCUGGCCAAUUAAAACUCAGCUGUCAGGACCAGACUACACCAACACUGUGUGACCGAUUGCGGCUGAGAGAUACAGCAGAGAUUGAGGAAAUGUGUGUUUUGUGUUGAUUGUGUUUAUGGGUUCUGGACAUAAAAACUGAUGAAUAAACUAUUGUCAUCUCAGGCUCUUUUUGUGUUUCUUUGUGUAGUCUAAGUAGUUUGGUGUCAACAGGGGUUUUGGUUAAAAGUCAUCAAAGUAGCACUAUUGCAUUUGACCAUAAAUGAUAGGAUUUUAUGUGUGCUAGACUUCAUUAUGAACCUUUCUGACAUGCUAUAUGGUGAAAUUUGCACACAGAUUUGUAAUCCAGACAGUCAUUUGGGAAAAGCCCUUUUGCUUUUUUUUGGGAGGGUGGGGGGUGGUGGCUUAAGGCUAAAGUCUACAAGUGUAAUAGAGUGAUGAGAAGAAGCUAACACAUUUUUUUCUUUCACAGGUAUCUUUCUGAUCCUUCUCCUUGUCUAUUAUCCUUUUUAGCCUAAACUGGAGUUGUAAACAUUGGAAUGUCAUUAAAAUCUUUUUGGCAGUCACUUACAAAGACCCUAAAGCAGACAUGUCCAAGGUCCAUUGCGUGGAAAUUUCCACCUGCCCGCAGACUCCUUUCAUAAAAUCCAUAAUGUGGGGCCCACAUCAUUAUUUAAAGAUUGUGUACAAUUUCUUGAUUGUGGUGGCAUAAUUACAUUUUCCUAUUCACCAUGAAGAGGCACUACCAGACGAGACACGCUAUAUAUGACAAGCUAACUUGGAAUGCACGGAGGAAAAAAAUGACAAAUUGACAGUGAGUUUGGUAAAAAUGCAUUUCAAUGUAUUUGUUCUAUAAGAAGAAAUGAAAGUAUUUAAAUGCAACAAAAUGCUAAAAAUUAGUUCUUUUACAUUGAAUGUUGUUAAAAUAGUUGAAAGAAUGUCAGGCUGAAUGGUUGGCGCUCACGCAUUUUCACCUCACUAAAUUUGGCUCUCAUUGCAAAAAAGCUUAGAUACCCCUGCACCAAAGAGUCAAAGAAGUAAAAGAAAAAUGAACACUGGAUUCUUAUGUGCACGAGAAAGUUAUCUGGUGCUCACAAAAAACUGACUGGUGCACACGGGAAAGUGUCUGGUGCGCACAAGAAGCUAAGUAGUCAUUUGUGCACAGGAGACCUGUCAGUCACGUAAGAAUGAGCUUAUUGAGUGUUAUUUUACCUUCUGACUCGCCUACAAAGACAUUGCAGCCUCAUUUGUCUGAAGUCACUGUUAUGUUAUCUCUGAAUGUCACCUAAAACAAGUAUUAAAGUUGAGUUGUUGUUUUUUUUUUGAGUGCAGGGAAUACACCUGCUUUGAUCAAAUGAUGCGCUGCACACAAGUUUCUUUGUCAUGCACACCAGAUACUUCCACGUGCACAAGAAAAACCAGAACUAAUUUUUUU